GUAGGAGUUGCCAUGGGCAACUACAAUAACAAGACAGAUUGAUAUUUGAUAGGUCUGCAUGUCACAGUUCUUUAAAUCCCAGCCUCGUUUUUCUUAUGCCGUCUAAAGACUUUUAAUUACAGCAUGCGUCACCAGACCAUGCUACACAAGCCAUCAUGUCUGUAGGCAAGGAACUUGGUGUAACAAGAUGGACAUCACAAAUGUUUUUAAACUCC
Molecule: non-coding RNA, 215 nt
Organism: Pelobates cultripes (western spadefoot toad)
Lineage: Eukaryota; Metazoa; Chordata; Amphibia; Anura; Pelobatidae
Source: the annotation of a GenBank genome assembly